UCCGAAGGGGGCUAUCGUUGUUCGGAAUUACUGGGCGUAAAGGGCGCGUAGGCGGUGGGUUACGUCUGCCGUGAAGUCCCCGGGCUCAACCUGGGAAUGGCGGUGGAAACGGGCUGACUGGAGUAUGGGAGAGGGUGAUGGAAUUCCAGGUGUAGCGGUGAAAUGCGUAGAGAUCUGGAGGAACACCAGUGGCGAAGGCGGUCACCUGGCCCAAUACUGACGCUGAGGCGCGAAAGCGUGGGGAGCAAACAGG
RNAcentral lists this ribosomal RNA (253 nucleotides) under uncultured bacterium. Its description in RNAcentral is "partial 16S ribosomal RNA". It matches the Rfam family "Bacterial small subunit ribosomal RNA", at positions 524 to 776 of the family's 1533-position model. The record is from RNAcentral.